This 289-nucleotide ribosomal RNA is filed under the name uncultured bacterium. RNAcentral's name for it is "partial 16S ribosomal RNA". It matches the Rfam family "Bacterial small subunit ribosomal RNA", at positions 333 to 618 of the family's 1533-position model. The record is from RNAcentral.
AUGGGCCUACGGGGGGCAGCAGUGAGGAAUAUUGGUCAAUGGGCGGAAGCCUGAACCAGCCAAGCCGCGUGAGGGAAGAAGGCCCUGCGGGUCGCAGACCUCUUUGGACGGGGAGCAAGGCCGCCGACGUGUCGGCGGAAGGAGAGUACCCGUAGAACAAGCAUCGGCUAACUCCGUGCCAGCAGCCGCGGUAAUACGGAGGAUGCGAGCGUUAUCCGGAUUUAUUGGGUUUAAAGGGUGCGUAGGCGGACUGUUAAGUCAGCGGUAAAAACUCGGGGCUCAACCCCGG